This 248-nucleotide ribosomal RNA is filed under the name uncultured bacterium. RNAcentral describes it as "partial 16S ribosomal RNA". It matches the Rfam family "Bacterial small subunit ribosomal RNA", at positions 524 to 776 of the family's 1533-position model. The record is from RNAcentral.
UACGAAGGGGCUAGCGUUGCUCGGAAUUACUGGGCGUAAAGGGAGCGUAGGCGGGUCGUCAAGUUGGGGUGAAAUCCCCGGGCUUAACCUGGGAACUGCGUUUGAAACUACAAGGCUAGAGUGUGACAGAGGGGGUGGAAUUCCACGUGUAGCAGUGAAAUGCGUAGAGAUGUGGAGGAACACCGAUGGCGAAGGCAGCCCCUGGGUUAACACUGACGCUCAGGCACGAAAGCGUGGGAGCAAACAGG